Felis catus (domestic cat) is the source of this 877-nucleotide long non-coding RNA. RefSeq lists it as uncharacterized. The record is from RefSeq and is a predicted model, not a curated record. The transcript has 4 exons. Lineage: Eukaryota; Metazoa; Chordata; Mammalia; Carnivora; Felidae.
UAAGCACAAGUGGAGUAAGCUCACAUUGCUCACCGAGAGCUGGCUGACCUCAGGUGGAGAUCACGGACAAAGGGCCUUAAAUGCAGAACGAGAAUGUGAUAGCAAGAAGCCACUCCUUAGCAGACUCCUGGCAUCGAGCCAUGAAUCCAGGCCCACAUAUUCUGCCCACUGGCUACUGGGUUAUUCCGUAAAGCUGGAGAUGUAGUGUGGCUACUGGAGCUCCUUCACAGAGAGAAGCUGGACAUUUAAAUGGAGACCAAGAGUCAACACUCAACAAUGGAGGGUCACCCAACAAUGGAGAGGAAGCAGAUGUUGGAGGAAACACAGGGAGUCCAGCACAAAGAUACCUAUGCUUGACCAGCUUUUAGUUCACAGCAUCUGGAAUUGAAAGCUUAACUCAUUUACCUUCUUUCUUGCCCAAGAUGAAUGCCUAUCCAGAAAUACUGGAGUUUCAGGGGCCAUCUGUCUAAAAUGCAGUAAGAAUUUAUCAAAGUCUCCACCCACCUCAUGACGAGGGCUGGAGGACAGCAGUGGACAAGGGUGAGAAAUCACAAGACCUGAGUUCUAGCCCCACCACCUACUGGUUCUUGCACCUCAUGUAAUUUCUCCUGCCAGAGUCUCCAGUUCCUUAGCUAUGAACCGGAACACCUAUAAUACACCAACUCACCUCACAAGCUUGUGGGAUCAAAUGAAGCAGAGCCUGUUGCAAACUGUAAAGUUCUAUGUGAUUGUUUUUACUAUCCCAACCACAAUCUAUGGCCAGGCAGCUCUUCAUAUAGGAGACAGAUUUCUUCCCCUUGGCAAUAAUUGUAAGUAAUAUAUUCCAGGAUGUUUUGCAUUUUCCUGUGCUUAAAAUAAAACUGAACCCAAACAAGAA